CAUCAUACACCAGAGCCUGCAGCAGCAGUGUUUGCCCAGUUCCGGCUGGAGGCAGCAGAGCACGGGUCAGAGCCGGCCUUGGACCACUACCCUGGGGCAGCUCACAGCCUGCCCAGGAGCCUGCCCAGUUCGUCCCCGCUGCCUGAGCCCAGGAGAUCUGCAGAGAAGGAAGAAGACAGUAUGGGCAUGCAGGGCCCAGACCUGUGGACCCCUCCAGAUAGGUUCCACGCUAAAGCCCCUCCCUCAGGCAGGGGUGAAAACUGAGGUGGGGAGACUAGGAAGGGCGGAGUCAUAAGCCUAACAACACUUGAUGAGCAAAAUCUGACGCUCCCAAGUUUGUCAGACUCUUUCUUAUGGCAGAGGAAAGUAGAGAGAAGGGAGAACUGACUGUCCACUUGGUCAGGGCGUGUCACCAGGGCCCCUGGCCUAUGGAGUCUCACAUUAUCCUGGGGCCAGCCCUACUUGGCCACAGCAAAAGCAACCAGCCUCUUUUCUCCAUAUUAGAACUCAGGAGCUCACCAAUUCUCUAAGCAAAGCAAGAUCCCCAGGAAACCAGCUCUCUGAUGUCUUCUGAACUUUGCAGGUGCACUGUACCAUACACACACACACACUUAAACAAUAAAAGACCCCUCAAAGCUA
This is a long non-coding RNA of Mastomys coucha (southern multimammate mouse), 639 nucleotides long. RefSeq lists it as uncharacterized. Lineage: Eukaryota; Metazoa; Chordata; Mammalia; Rodentia; Muridae. The record is from RefSeq and is a predicted model, not a curated record. The transcript is spliced from 2 exons.